UACGGAGGAUCCGAGCGUUAUCCGGAUUUAUUGGGUUUAAAGGGAGCGUAGGUGGAUUGUUAAGUCAGUUGUGAAAGUUUGCGGCUCAACCGUAAAAUUGCAGUUGAAACUGGCAGUCUUGAGUACAGUAGAGGUGGGCGGAAUUCGUGGUGUAGCGGUGAAAUGCAUAGAUAUCACACAGAACACCGAUUGCGAAGGCAUCUCACGAAUCCGCUAUUGACGCUGAUGCACGAAAGCGUGGGUAUCAAACAGG
This 253-nucleotide ribosomal RNA is filed under the name uncultured bacterium. RNAcentral's name for it is "partial 16S ribosomal RNA". It matches the Rfam family "Bacterial small subunit ribosomal RNA", at positions 524 to 776 of the family's 1533-position model. The record is from RNAcentral.